UGGAAGUGUAUUGUUGGGCAUUACAAAAAAAAACAUGCCAAAAAUACCCCCCAAAACCCCAGCAGCAAUUAAAAAAAAAACACCAAAUAUACCCGCAAAAAACAGCAGCAAAUAAAAAAAACAACAACAAAAAACACGCCAAAAAUACCCGCAAAAAACCCAGCAGCAAGUAAAAAAAAAAUAAUAA
Hippocampus zosterae (dwarf seahorse) is the source of this 187-nucleotide long non-coding RNA. RefSeq lists it as uncharacterized. Lineage: Eukaryota; Metazoa; Chordata; Actinopteri; Syngnathiformes; Syngnathidae. The record is from RefSeq and is a predicted model, not a curated record. The transcript has 2 exons.